ACGAACGCUGGCGGCGUGCUUAACACAUGCCAGUCGAACGCUGAAGCUUGGUGCUUGCACUGGGUGGAUGAGUGGUGAACGGGUGAGUAAUACGUGAGUAACCUGCCCUUGACUCUGGGAUAAGCCUGGGAAACUGGGUCUAAUACUGGAUAUGACAUGCCACUGCAUGGUGGUGUGUGGAAAGGGUUUUACUGGUUUUGGAUGGGCUCACGGCCUAUCAGCUUGUUGGUGGGGUAAUGGCCUACCAAGGCGACGACGGGUAGCCGGCCUGAGAGGGUGACCGGCCACACUGGGACUGAGACACGGCCCAGACUCCUACGGGAGGCAGCAGUGGGGAAUAUUGCACAAUGGGCGGAAGCCUGAUGCAGCGACGCCGCGUGAGGGAUGACGGCCUUCGGGUUGUAAACCUCUUUCAGCACGGAAGAAGCGAGAGUGACGGUACGUGCAGAAGAAGCGCCGGCUAACUACGUG
Molecule: ribosomal RNA, 471 nt
Filed under: uncultured bacterium
Lineage: Bacteria
Description: partial 16S ribosomal RNA
Rfam family: Bacterial small subunit ribosomal RNA
Source: RNAcentral